This 350-nucleotide ribosomal RNA is filed under the name uncultured bacterium. RNAcentral's name for it is "bacterial SSU rRNA". It matches the Rfam family "Bacterial small subunit ribosomal RNA", at positions 28 to 376 of the family's 1533-position model. The record is from RNAcentral.
GACGAACGCUGGCGGCGUGCUUAACACAUGCAAGUCGAGCGGUAAGGCCCUUUCGGGGGUACACGAGCGGCGAACGGGUGAGUAACACGUGGGUGACCUGCCCUUAGCUCUGGGGAUAAGCCUGGGAAACUGGGUCUAAUACCGGAUAUGACUCCAUGACGCAUGUUGUGGGGUGGAAAGCCUUGUGCGGCUAGGGAUGGGCCUGCGGCCUAUCAGCUUGUUGGUGGGGUGAUGGCCUACCAAGGCGACGACGGGUAGCCGGCCUGAGAGGGCGACCGGCCACACUGGGACUGAGACACGGGCCCAGACUCCUACGGGAGGCAGCAGGUGGGGAAUCUUGCGCAAAUGGG